RNAcentral lists this ribosomal RNA (462 nucleotides) under bacterium FCS022. RNAcentral describes it as "bacterial SSU rRNA". It matches the Rfam family "Bacterial small subunit ribosomal RNA", at positions 28 to 477 of the family's 1533-position model. The record is from RNAcentral.
GAUAAACGCUGGCGGCGUGCUUAACACAUGCAAGUCGAACGGAGUACUUCUCCCGAGACCGAGGAAGCUUGCUUCCAAAGAAUCAUUUGAAGUACUUAGUGGCGGACGGGUGAGUAACGCGUGGGUAACCUGCCUCACACAGGGGGAUAACAGUUGGAAACGACUGUUAAUACCGCAUAAGCGCACAGUAUCGCAUGAUACAGUGUGAAAAACUCCGGUGGUGUGAGAUGGACCCGCGUCUGAUUAGCUAGUUGGUGAGGUAACGGCCCACCAAGGCGACGAUCAGUAGCCGGCCUGAGAGGGUGUACGGCCACAUUGGGACUGAGACACGGCCCAAACUCCUACGGGAGGCAGCAGUGGGGAAUAUUGCACAAUGGGGGAAACCCUGAUGCAGGGACGCCGCGUGAGUGAUGAAGUAUCUCGGUAUGUAAAGCUCUAUCAGCAGGGAAGAUAAUGACGGUA